CAGGUUGGGAUUGCUUAUCUGAACAUGCAGUUUCCCUUUGUGAGAAAUGGGGUAAAAUCAGGAGAGUUCAGAGUGAUUGCUACAUUGCCGAUGACUACAGCCAUGUUUUCGACAAGCACAAAGAUAGAGGUGAGGCAAGGUAAUGAAGUCAGUCAGAUGGGAAUCGGGCUUCAUCACCCCAUCUUCCACCCAACUGUUCAAAAUCCACCCGAGGCAGCUACAGUAGGUUUGGAAACUGUGUCUCAAUUGAUAGCUCAUAUUUCCCAGAAAUUUCUGAGUUACAGGAACUCCAAGAGGCCAACGCACGGCAAGUGCUCGGUGGUUCUUUACGGGCCUUAGCAGAACAAGGAAAUUGCGAGGGGGGUCGCUCACACUAUGAACAUGAGAUUCGAAUACACUGAUGCAUCAAAGCUGAUAAAAGAUUACCCAGAUGAUUCUAUAGCAGCCGUAAGAUUUUUUUUCCGUAUCCCAUAUAGGAGGGGCCCGCGUGUAUUAUUCAUUGACACAUUUGAUAAUGUCGCACCUGAAGUAGGAAGAGGUUACAGCUACAUCACUGAUGUGAUAGCUGCCAAGCUUAAGCUCACUUUGGACGAGCCAAUGGAGAACCAUGUCUUUAUCAUUGCAGGAGCAAGGUGGAGAUCCUUCGUAGAACCUGGUAUUCAUUCACGUGUGAGUGAUGUACUAUUCUGUAGACCACAAGAAGAACAGCAGGAGUGGGACAGUGUUGGGACGUGUCUCCGGCGCUUGAUGACUCUGCCAUACAAAGGGGAGCAUAGCCGUUGGAGAACACCUAGUGUUGUUCUGUAUGGACGGAACUCUUCUCAGAUGUGGAACGUUGCCAGCUCGUUUGCUGCGUGUCGUUCUCUCAAGCUUGUGAGAGCUGAAGCAUCACAUCUUCUCAGGAUGUACAACCGCGUUGGACAUGCCGCGCUCCGUGUCCACCUGGACAAUAUGGACAGGCAGGUCCAUGUGUUUGUUGCUGUUAGGUGGUGGCAACUGAUGAGUCCGCAACUCCUAGAAGCUGGCAGACUCGAUAAGCAGGUGUUCUGUGGAACACCCACAACGAAGGUGCUAUGGGACUAUGUUGGGAACCAACUGCUUCAGGUAGAUGAUAAUGAAUAG
This 1122-nucleotide ribosomal RNA is filed under the name Triticum aestivum (bread wheat). RNAcentral's name for it is "partial small subunit ribosomal RNA". The record is from RNAcentral. Lineage: Eukaryota; Viridiplantae; Streptophyta; Magnoliopsida; Poales; Poaceae.